RNAcentral lists this ribosomal RNA (333 nucleotides) under Triticum aestivum (bread wheat). Its description in RNAcentral is "partial small subunit ribosomal RNA". Lineage: Eukaryota; Viridiplantae; Streptophyta; Magnoliopsida; Poales; Poaceae. The record is from RNAcentral.
AUGGAAUACUACUACGCAGGUACAAGCCAGCCAGCAUGGGUUGGGCUGAAGAGAGGAUACGAGCAGUCGGACGGCAAGCUCGACGCCACGGUGACGGACAAGCGGCACAAGUGCGACGACAGUAGUUGGAAGGCCGUCGCUGCGUACGCUCCGACGGCGGGUUCGAAGCGAGCCUACCAGCGAUCCGAGGACGAGAUUGACCCGGUGUUCAUCGACAAGCGGUACAAGGGCAACUACUGGGAGGACCCUGCUUACGCGCUGAUGGUGAAGCGCCGCGGGAGAAAGAAAACCAUGGACGAUGCUCGCCGAGCAGCGCGCCGCCAGGCUGCGUGA